AAUGCUGCUCUCCCUUUAUUUUUUUAGUAGUUUACACAGUAUUAUACUGUAUUGGCUUCUUUUUUUUUUUUUUUUUUUGGUCUCUGCAGCUGCCUGAUUGUGUACUUCUGCUUCCAAAUUAGAUGUGUAGUUCACCAGUCAGUUCGUAACUCUGGUGGUUCUACUGUAAUAUCCAUGCAUCUCACCAGGACGAUGUAAAAUUAAAUGCAUGAAAAUUAGUGAAGCACUUACACCGUAGCGAUGAGCACCACAGAAAACUCUACAAAGAAAUUAACAGCUCUGUCUUCAGAGCAGGAUUUGAGUAGUAUGUUGUAAACAAGGCGUUAUGGGGCCACAAAUUGAAUAAUGAGAACAACAAAACAUUGAACAGUUACUCACUAAGCGAGCACUGUCCAUUCUGUGCACUGAUUUAAAGACUACAUCAUAAUCCAUACGCACAAGGAGACCAAAUUAAGACUGUGGAGGCAAGCUUCAUUCUGACAUUUUCUAUCUUUUGAGUGCUUGACUUUGUAACCUUAAUGUUUUUAAUAUAGUUUUUGCAUAUCAUAGCUAUCUAAAAUACAUAGUAAUAGCAAAAGUAUUCCUUAUUUCAAUAAAAUGUAUAAAAUAGCGUUGAAGGAUUUCUUUAAAAAAUUACUUUAUGAAUUAAUAAAAAGUAUUUUUAUACAAGUCUGAUUUGAUCUCUUUCUGUGAUAGACGAUAAAUAAGGUUGAAUUUCAAGAGACAUGUAAUGUAAUGUAAGCUUCAACUUAUUGUCCUUGUAAUCAAACUAUUAACAUCCUAUUUCUAUUAUGAUUUUAAAAGUUAAAAUAGAUUUUUCACAAUCCCUGCAGCAUAAAUAUGAACAUAUCACAAAAAGAUGAAAGUGAAAUCUAACUAGAUUUAUUUAACUAUUGAUAAACGCUAUUAAAUGCAUGCUAUUUAUAUAUUUUAAAAAUAUGCUGUCUUGCCUAUUUAACACACAACAAUAUGCCGAGUGUUAAAGCUGAAUAUAAUAGGAUGCACACCUUUGAUUAUGCUUUUUUUUUGUCUAAAGUCAAAAUUUGCAAUUUAGUGGUCAAAAUUCUGCACUAUAUUCUUACCUUCAAUAAUAUUUCUUCCUUGCAUCAUAACUAAUCAUAAAUGUGAUCACUCAUAUCUAUUUUUAGCUUUUGCAGCUGACAAACUUUGUCUUCCUUCUGUUUAGCAGUUUGUUUUCUUUAAUUAUCAGUAGCUUUAAAAUGUAAAACAAUGCAUAAAGAGAUUAAUUAAAGAUGGUUGAUCAUGCAUGACAAAUGCAGUAAGUUAGAUAUUCAAGUUUUAAUUUUUUUAUAAGUGCUUUCUCACUUUAAUGGUAGAAGAAAAUUAUACCAUUAUAGUAAACAAAAAGCAAACAACUCACAAUUAGCUCAUUUGUAAACCUACUGGAACGCCCACACUCCAAGCAUAGAUAGAUGCAACAGUCAAAUGCCUUACAUGUUUACUACACUAAGGCCAAGUCUGCACUACAAAAGUAAGUUGACCUAACUUAUGCUGACAUACAGUUGCCACAGUAAUUACAUUGCUUCCGCUGACACAAGAGGGGUUUUUAAGUUGCUCUGAUCCUGUGUAAGAAACGCAGCACCAGGCAGCUGCAGAGGGAGAAAAAACAUCGCGAAAAGCCCAGUAAGUAUUACAAAGGUGGUAACAGUAUCAUGAUGCUUUAACUUGCAUAGAACUGUAGUUUGUUUUAGAAUUAAGACUUGAGAUAAGUGGUAAAUAGUGACAAUUUAUAGCGAAAAACCCAAAAUGGCGGCCGCAAUGAUUCUCUGUUAUAGAUCUUAAAAUGGAGGACGAAGAGCAGACAAGGGAUAAAGGUUAGAUAGAGUUUAACGGGGAAUGACUCAGCAUACGUCAGAACACCUAAAAGGGAGGGCUCCGGAGAGAGGAGGAUCUAUGCUAGUAAAUCAGGCGAGCAGAGGAUCUAUGCGACUGAGUUAGGAGGAGGAGCAGCUUGAAUAACAGGUGAAGCUGAUUGGCUAAGCAAAUGUCGCUCCAUGGGGAGGAUCUAUGCUAAUGAGCUGGACUUGAGAAAGCAACCAAUGAGAGGAGGGCUGGUAAUCCUAUAUAAAGGCUGACAGCCAGCAGGCUUGUGUGUGGGUGUUUGAGCUGGGGUGAAGAGAUCAGGGGGUGAAGAGAGUGGUGGGAGCUGAAGAAGCCACAGCAGCAGAAGAAACAGCAGCAACUGAAGAAGCAGCAAAAGAAGCAGGAGAAGCAGCAGCACAGGCAGUAUGAAGCCAAUAAGACAGAUCAAAAGGACCCCGAAAGAUGAAUCAGAGGAAUUUUUGAGAAGGAAGAGUGGCAUUUUACACCUCAGGAACCCCUUACUCAACUGACUCCAAAUCUGGAUCACUGACUGACCCCUGGCACCACUAUGAGAUCCACAGGAUGGGUGCUACACCACCGGCUUUGGAACAGUCUCCUGGAGGAACUCACUCAGGGUGCCAGAGCCCCAAGGGGAUUCACUCUUCCUUCAGGAUAGGCCACGAGGCCUCAUCACUUCCUAAGACUGAACUUCUGUGGCUUCAGCACUCCGGCUUCACAUCACAAGCUCUAUUCAGUGAGUCCAACUGAGACAGACUCCUGAUAGAGACUUUGUAUGUUCUUCAGGAAUUACCAAUCUCACCAAAUCUCACCAAGCAUUUGCAGAGACACUUAAGCUACGUUGUCAAAACCGUAGGGUUUAUUCGUCAGCUGGCACACAACAUAGGAAGUCCUCAGGUUAGCAUAGAGAAAUAAAGGUUAAGGCAUAGAUCAUUCUGGUUAGCCCACAGUGCCCAGCCAAGCUGUAGGAAACCCCAGGUUCAGGUUCUGUCUCUCUUCAUCUCACCUCCUUGUCAGUUCCUCUGUGAGAACCAUAACUCCCUCCAGCAGCCAACACUUAGCCCCCUGCUUCCCCCUCAGACCUUCCCAAAUCUUUGUUCUGGAAGUAAGAGAUCUUGCUCAGCUUCCUUGCUGAGAGGCGGGGAAAUCCAUCUCUGUCUUGGUCUAUGGUUGAUAGGUGUCAAUGUCCUGAUGACUGGAUUUGCCAUUGUCUUCUCAGACUCUCCACUGAUAUGGGAUCAGCCUUGACCAGUCCUUUUUAAUGGCCAUUCACAUUCAGCUAGGCAACAUUCAUACCUAUCUCUCUCAGCCUACCCUGAGAGCAAACAGUAAUUUUUCUCUCCCACUGAGUAACCAUGUGCAUUACAGGGAAAACUGAGGCACACAGAGGAUUCAUAGACUUAUUACAGAAAAUUCCUGCUUCAUCACAGUCAUGCUAGGCCUUUAAUCAAACACUGCAGUUAUCACAAAAAUAAAAAAAGUAUGUUUUCUACAUACUAGAAAUGGUUAGUUUCUUCAUUAACCAAUGAAGAAAAAGCAGCCAAAGCCUAAAUUAGUCAUUAAAAUUAUGAAGUUUUAUCUACAGAACAAAGGGUGUUUGAAGGCUACAACAACAGAUCAGAAAUACUUCAGAGAAAAAGGAGGAUGGUCCAGUCAUUAGGAGACUAACCUAUGAAGACCCGAAACCAAUUCCCUGCUCCUCCACAGACUUCCUGAGUCACCCUUGGCAAAUCACAGCUUGUCUAUGCCUCAGUUCGUCAUCUGUAAAAACAAUAAUAGCACCUCUCUACCUCACAAGACUGUUGUGAGGAAAAAUGCAUUGAAGAUUGGGAGGCACUCGUUUGUAGUUACACCCAAGAUGCAUCUACACUAGAAACACUACAGCAGCAACUCUGUAGUGUAAACAUUUACUACAAUGAUGGAAGGGGUUCUUCUGUCACUGACAUAAAUCCACACCUCCAAGAGGUGAUAGCGCAACAGAAGAAACCACAGCUUAGGUAAGCUUAAUUACAUCACACAGGAUGUGAAAUUUUUCACAAUCCUGAACGAGCUAGUUAAGCCCCACUAAUUUUUUAGGGUAGAUCAGCCCACAAUAAUUACUUAUGUUUUAAGAGAUCAGAUACCACUUCAAAGGUCAGGAAAAAAUCCUGCCCAUAUCAUGUCCUCCCCUCUCCACAAAAAAAGGGUAAAACAGGAGAAGAGGGGAGGGGUGGGUUGCUGCCCAGUUUUAGUGCUGAAGUUGUUCAUAAGUCUGUCUCACUGUAGUGAUAUAGAGUUAUCUGGAUGACCUUUUUAAGUUACCUAGUUUUACCUACUUCCUUCCCUCCUCCCCUCCCCACCCUAUCCCGCUCCAGUUAUGGAAACCCAAGGUUAACUUUCUGGUUGGUUAUCUUCUUUAGGUUUUGGUAUGGACUUGAAAUGAACACCUGUGGUAUUGAUGUCCUUAACAGAUUCCUAAAAGGCUUACGUAUGUAUUGGUCAGGACAGCUGUGCAACACUGAUGUUUUGUCAUCCCAGUGAGAGAGUGUUAAUUAACAGAGUACAAUGGAGUAAAACAUCAUUGCUUGCAGAAACUCAACAUCCCAAAAUGUACAUAGCUUAGCACUUCUCAUGUGACCAAGAGGAAAUCUGCAGGCAUAAAGUAAUUCACAGAGUGGCUCUCAUAUAGGGCCUUUGGCUACUACCUUUCCAGCUUUGCUGAAGCCAAUGCAGUAAUUGUAGUGCCAGUAUGUGACUAUGUACGCUUCUUGAAGUUUGCAUGCUUAUUAACUAUUAACUCCAAAAGUAUAGUUUACUAAUUUUCUGAAAGCAGUUAAACAGCAAAGUGGGUAAAAGGGUUAACCCUAAGUUUAAAAAAAUAUAUAUAUAUUUUUUUGUUUAUCAAGAGCUGAAAUCUGAAGAUAGGUUCAAAAGGGGUCUGUUAUAUGCACGACACCCCUACUUUUAAUUCACCAAAACCCCAAGAAUAUGAUUAAAUUAAAAAGCCUAUGCAAAGAUUUCACGAGGAAAAAAGGCCUCAAAAACAAAUUGUCUAAAUAAAAGGCAUGGUAUAACAAGAUACUUUUAAUAGGUUUGAUGUUAAUAUUAAACAUUGGGAUAAAUUUAAUGUUAAUAAGUAUCCCUGUAACAAUGUAUAGGAUGUAUGAUUUUUCAAAAAAAAUUUAAGGUCAUAUGGUAAUGAUGCUUCUCAGCUGUUACUUGUGAAUAAACUUAAAACUUAGCACUGCAGAAAAAACCAUUACAACUUGGUCUGCUGUAUAAGAAAAACUGAGGCACACCACCUCAUAAAUUUAAUAACUGAACAGCGGGAUAAUUCACCCUAAACCCUUAAAAGGUAGAAGCCAUUGAAACCUGGCCUGCCUAUAGAACAAAAACACAGGAAACUCUGGGGGUAAUUCCUCUGUUUUGCCUGCAAUCAGCAAGGGUAUUUGUAAAAGAAAGGGAUAUUUUAAGCGAUAACCUUCCACCCCAAAAGGAGUAGAAACAUGUUCUUUUUGUCUUUCAGAAAAUCAGAAAAAGCUGGUACCAGCUAAAAAGCAACCCAGAAUACCAUGAACCUACUGUCACGACAAAAAUUGUGUUUUGUGUUUUAUGUUUUGUCUUGUGUUAUUUGUCUUGUUGCUAGCAUUGUUGUGUAUUGUGUUACAAAAAAAACCUAUUGCAUUAGGCAAAAAAGAAUUAAUAAGCAUUUUAACUGUAUUUACAGAAACCAAUGUUGCAGAAGGGCAGAGGUCAAGGAAUGCCAGUCUGUUAACAGGAAAAAACAUCCUCAGGAUCCAUCCAAUGAUCAGACUGCAAAUUCCCUCAUCAGUUUUCCCAAUCACUUUAUCUACUUGCAUUUUAAAAAGAUCAAAGAGUUUUUACCCACUUCAUUACUCUCAAAUACACAUUUGCCUUUCCAAAUUCCUCCCAUGUCAUUCUGUCAAUGAUGUUGAUAUCUAACCAUCACUAUAUUGCCAUAUUUGCAUGACACUCCACAUUUCUGCAGCCUUCCUCUCCUCUUUACUCAUAUCAUGAACACUUCCAACAGAUAAUAAAGGCAACACUUUAAUUUGACAAAAUACUAUUUUUUAAUAGCAUAUGUGCAAAGAUAUACAUAUUGUCUCAAGAUCCUGGAUACCACUGACCAAAGGACAUUUUCUUAAGACUAAUGCUUUCAGUGAAAAAUAACAGUUUCCUGAUAUAGUAAUCAAACUGUUGCUACUAUGUUGAUGCUUCUGGGAAUGAUAUCACAGGCGAAGGAAUCAACUCAUACCUUUAGUUGGUAAGUAAUUAAGUUGUUAGUGGUAAAUAAAGUAUCUAAUUUUAAUAUUUCUCUUUUAAACAAAGACAUAGAUCAUUAAAAGGCCUGUGAGAAAACAAAAUUACCUGUUACUAAGAAGGCCUCAAAACCUGCUUGUGGCCACAACACACAAAAACAAUGCAAAAAAUUUAAUUCUAUUAAAUUGAAGGGUACAAUUUUAAUCCUUAAAACCACAUGCCCAUUUGGAAAAUUAACAAGGAAACACAGAAAGAUACCAAAGCAUGUUCAAUAUUAUGCUAGUUUUAUCAGUAAGAUUUUUUUUUAAAUAAGUUUCAUUCUGGGACACUUAAAAAAAUCUAAACUAUCUCAAAUAAUCUGUCAUCCUUUUAACACUUUCUCAAGCAGAAUUAAUGUGGAUUUUUCUCUUUUUAGUUGUAUUAUGAAUAAUAUAGCUUAGCACAUAGUUCUGUCAUUUGGCUAAAAAGUUACAUUAAUUAUCUAAUAAAAAGUAAAGUUUCACAAUUUUCAGCUUCAACACAUUCCUACUGAUAACAGUGAAAAAAUAUGUGUAAUUUAAGUUUUAAAGUAACAGGCUGAGGUACAGUCUUAGGCCUACAUUACAAACUUAUGUUGACUCAAGUUACACCAGCAUACAGCCACCGCAGUUAAUAUAUUGUUUAUGUGCGUGCAUACUUGGCUCCUUGUAUCAGCAGUGCAGGUACUCACCAGGAGUGCUUGUAUCUAUGCAUAGUGAAGUGUACCUUGGAUAGGUAUCCCACAGUGUAACCUGCCACCAUUCAGUGCACUUGUUGGAAAGAUUUGGCAAUGCAUGAUGGGGCCGAAACAAGUCAUGCAGGGAUGACUUGGACUGCAGGGUAAGUUUUCCAGUUUGCAAUGGUCUCCACCCCAUAAUGUUACUUGUAUUCCAUAGUUUUCAUGAUUUUUUUCAAAUGCCCACAAGCCUCCAUGGCACUCCUUGCUGUCCAUCAUCUCUGACAGAAGCAUUGACCUUGCACACUCUGCACUACUGUCGUGAGUGUUGCAAGCACAGGACACACAAUCCUGGAGUAUUUGCAGAGUCGCAAGGAGAAUCAAAUCAGUGGGGAACAUGAUGAUUCCUUGGAAGAUAGAUCGCUGUGGGACACAGCGAGAACCAAUUCACGGUUGUUGGUGGCGUUCAUGGAGGAGCUGCAGCUGGCUGAGUGCCACGUCUGAGUUCAAGAAAAAAAGCACUGAUUGGUGGGGUUACACCAUAAUGUAAGUUUGGGAUGAUAAGCAGUGGCUACAGACCUUUCAGAUGUACAAGACCACAUUACUGAAUCUGUGUCCAGCACAGGGACACCCAAAUGAGAGCUGCACUGACAGUGGAGGAGUGAGUAGCAAUCGCACUGUGGAAACUUGCGAAGCCAGAUUGAUAUUGGUCAGUCACAACUCAAUUUGGAAUCAGGAAAUCCACCAGGGGGACUGUGGAGGUGAAGGAAGCAAUUAAUGGCCCUGCAUACUUGCUACACCGGACUGUGACUCUUGGCAAUGUGCAGGACAUACUGGACGGAUAUGCAGCAGUAGGAUUCCCAAAGUGCAGCAGAGCAAUAGAUAGUACGCAUAUCCCUAUUUUGCCACCAAACCACCUUGCUACAGAAUACAUCAACAGAAAGAGCUACUUUUCUGUGGUUAUGCAAGCACUGGCAAAUCACCAGGAAUGUUUCACUGACAUCAGUGUGGGCUGGUCAGGGAAAGUGCAAUACAUUUGCAUCUUCAAGAACACAGAUCAAUUCAGAAAGCUACAAACAGAAACUCUCUUUCCUGAAUAAUGAAUUACCAUUGGGAAUGUUGUGAUUCUGGGAGAUCAGCAGUGAUCCUGAGGGAUCCAGCCUAUGCCUUACUCAUGAAGCCGUACACCAGCCACCUCAAUAGCACCAAGCAACGAUUCAACUACCAGCUCAGCAGGUGCAGGGUGACAGUUAAAUGUCCUUUUGGUUGUUUGAAAGAAGGACACUGGUGUUGUUUACUCACCAGACUGGACCUCAGUGAGAAUAAUAUCCCAAUCAUUAUAGCGGUCAGCUGUGUCCUGCAUAAUAAUAAUAAUGUAAAGAAAAGGAGGAAGAGUUCUCACCAAUGUGGAGGGCAGAGGUGGAGUGGCUGUUAGCUGACUUUGAAUAGACUGAUACAAAGGAUAUUAGAAGAGCCCAGCACGGAGCGAUAUAGUUCAAGAAAGCUUUGAAAGACUAUUCUAAACAAUGAGCUAGAGUACUUUGUGUUGUAGUGCACUCUACCUGGCCCUGUUCUUUUGUGGCCUGCUAGGAAUUGUGUGGUUAUUGCUGUACAUGUACGAAUAUAACUUUGUCAAUGCACCUAUUAAUUGUUAGAGCAUGCUCCUAGGAGCUGUGCAACACCAUGCAGUAACAGGUGUUGCUUUCAGAACUGCUGUGUACUUGGCACCAUAUGUUGUGAACUAAUAAAGACGAAU
Molecule: long non-coding RNA, 8552 nt
Organism: Chelonia mydas (Green sea turtle)
Lineage: Eukaryota; Metazoa; Chordata; Testudines; Cheloniidae
Exons: 4
Source: RefSeq, a predicted model, not a curated record